GACAGCAGCCGCCACGGUAAUACAGAGGGUGCGAGCGUUAAUCGGAUUUACUGGGCGUAAAGCGUGCGUAGGCGGCUUCUUAAGUCGGAUGUGAAAUCCCUGAGCUUAACUUAGGAAUUGCAUUCGAUACUGGGAAGCUAGAGUAUGGGAGAGGAUGGUAGAAUUCCAGGUGUAGCGGUGAAAUGCGUAGAGAUCUGGAGGAAUACCGAUGGCGAAGGCAGCCAUCUGGCCUAAUACUGACGCUGAGGUACGAAAGCAUGGGGAGCAAACAGGAUUAGAUACCCCGGUAGUCCCUGUCUCUUAUAC
This 306-nucleotide ribosomal RNA is filed under the name uncultured bacterium. RNAcentral's name for it is "partial 16S ribosomal RNA". It matches the Rfam family "Bacterial small subunit ribosomal RNA", at positions 507 to 807 of the family's 1533-position model. The record is from RNAcentral.